CCACACUCCACUACAGAAGUUGGGUCAUAUAUUUUUUUCCCCCUUGCCCUGUUCUGUAGACCUUGCCACUAACAGAUUGUCAUUUCAAAUGCAUUUUGUUUUCACAAAAGGCGAUAUCUAAAACCUCGCUCCCACAUGAGGCCAUUUUAAAGCUAUGGGGCAUCACCCAGCUGGUCCAGCCCUGCAUGGAUGCAAGCUACCGUGAAGACACCACUUCCCCACAGCAACACAUGAGUCGGAAGAAAGAGCAAGCUUGUCCUCACCUCUGUGGCAUCAGGAAAGCUCAACAUAUGGACAUGUCUGCCAACCCAGCUAUGCCCUGUGUUCCUUCUGGAAAGCAAUCCAGGCUGUGUAUCCAGGCAGGCUUAACCUUAACCACAAACGGCUCUGCUGAAACAGAAGACAAUCGAUUUGGUCGCUGUUCUUCAGGCGUGACAUUUAAGGCUUCCUCAUUGGGACUGGGUCAAAGGUGACUCCCACUGGAGAAUCA
Ochotona princeps (American pika) is the source of this 490-nucleotide long non-coding RNA. RefSeq lists it as uncharacterized. The transcript has 4 exons. NCBI's taxonomy places the organism in Eukaryota, Metazoa, Chordata, Mammalia, Lagomorpha, Ochotonidae. The record is from RefSeq and is a predicted model, not a curated record.